This 725-nucleotide long non-coding RNA is filed under the name Manihot esculenta (cassava). RNAcentral describes it as "long non-coding RNA (MESC_LNC002020)". The record is from RNAcentral. Lineage: Eukaryota; Viridiplantae; Streptophyta; Magnoliopsida; Malpighiales; Euphorbiaceae.
UGUUGUUUGUAGAGUCGAUAUGUAUGGGAUGAGAGUGAAGAAGAUAUGAUUCGAACUGCUUGGGAAAAGGUAGGAAAAGAAAGACUGCGAGACAUUCUUAAUAGAGUUAGGAGUGAAUUGUUGCGUAAGCACAAGAAGACAGAUGUUGCUUAUCUAUACAAUUUAGGACCAGAUUGGAUGGAUGGAAAUUUCUGGAAGUAGUAAAGGGAGGGUUUAUGGUUUUGGAUCUUCUGAUAUUGCAAAAUCUGGAACUCCAACUACCUCUUUCUCAUGCACAUCAGCUCAUCCUGGAGCAAAUGCAAGAGCAAAUGCAAGAGCAAAUGCAAGAGCAAAUGCGAGUGCAGAUAGAAAAGCAAAUAAAAGAUCAGAUGAAAUCAUUGAAGAACAAAAAAAGAUCUUCACCGCAUAAUCCAACUGCAGAUUGUACUUCUCUAUCAGAUGGUUCAACAAAUUCAUAGAUUAGUUUUUAGUUUUAUGAACAUUGUUAAGUAUAAUUGAUUUAUUUUAAAUUUUAUGAUGAUUGUUAAGUAUUAUGAAUUUAUUUUAAAUUUUAUGAACAUUGUUAAAUAUUAUGGAUUUAUUUUAAAUAUUUUGAAUAUUAUUGAGUAUUAUGAACAUUACUUAUAAUUAUUAUGAAUGAUAUUUAAUUUAUAUUCAAUAUGAUUCUUAAUUAUAAAUUAUUUGAUUAUACAGGGAAUAUGUAAAUAAAAACAGGGAAUUAUUUU